GACGAACGCUGGCGGCGUGCUUAACACAUGCAAGUCGAACGGAAAGGCCCUGCUUUUGUGGGGUGCUCGAGUGGCGAACGGGUGAGUAACACGUGAGUAACCUGCCCUUGACUUUGGGAUAACUUCAGGAAACUGGGGCUAAUACCGGAUAGGAGCUCCUGCUGCAUGGUGGGGGUUGGAAAGUUUCGGCGGUUGGGGAUGGACUCGCGGCUUAUCAGCUUGUUGGUGGGGUAGUGGCUUACCAAGGCUUUGACGGGUAGCCGGCCUGAGAGGGUGACCGGCCACAUUGGGACUGAGAUACGGCCCAGACUCCGACGGGAGGCAGCGGUGGGGGAUGUUGCACAAUGGGCAGGAGCCAGAUGCAGCAACGCCGCGUGCGGGAUAUCGGCCUUCGGGUUGUAAACCACUUUCGCCUGUGACGAAGCGUGAAUGACGGUAAUGGAUAAAGAAGCACCGGCUAACUACGUG
Molecule: ribosomal RNA, 468 nt
Filed under: uncultured bacterium
Lineage: Bacteria
Description: partial 16S ribosomal RNA
Rfam family: Bacterial small subunit ribosomal RNA
Source: RNAcentral